RNAcentral lists this long non-coding RNA (320 nucleotides) under Salvia miltiorrhiza (redroot sage). Its description in RNAcentral is "long non-coding RNA (SMIL_LNC010648)". Lineage: Eukaryota; Viridiplantae; Streptophyta; Magnoliopsida; Lamiales; Lamiaceae. The record is from RNAcentral.
CCCGUUGACUUUGACGAGGUCUCCGACGACGAUGAAGUCAUCCUUGCCAAGAAGUUCCAGACGUUCCGAUCCCGACGCAGAUCCAUGAUGACCUCAAGAAGGCGGCGCCGCCCGCCAAGGAGGUCGUUUGAUGGUCGAAUUGAUAUCUUUUCUUUUCUCAUAUGUCAGGGGAAAUUUAAUAUAUUUUCUCAUAAAAGGCUCUGUAUCUUUAUAUAAUUGAUGAAUUGAUUUUCAUGAUUAUUUUGUGAGUUUCUAGUUGCUAAUUAUUAUUUAUCUAUAUUACCUCACUUUUUCUUUUUUAAUUCUACUAGCAUUUGCAC